RNAcentral lists this ribosomal RNA (253 nucleotides) under uncultured bacterium. RNAcentral describes it as "partial 16S ribosomal RNA". It matches the Rfam family "Bacterial small subunit ribosomal RNA", at positions 524 to 776 of the family's 1533-position model. The record is from RNAcentral.
UACGUAGGGGGCUAGCGUUGUCCGGAAUCAUUGGGCGUAAAGCGCGCGUAGGCGGCCAGAUAAGUCCGGUGUGAAAGUCACAGGCUCAACCUGUGAAUGCCGCUGGAAACUGUCUGGCUAGAGUGCGGAAGAGGCGAGUGGAAUUCCUGGUGUAGCGGUGAAAUGCGCAGAUAUCAGGAGGAACACCUAUUGCGAAGGCAGCUCGCUGGGACGUAACUGACGCUGAGACGCGAAAGCGUGGGGAGCAAACAGG